GACGAACGCUGGCGGCGUGCUUAACACAUGCAAGUCGAACGGAAAGGCCUCUUUCGGGGGGUACUCGAGUGGCGAACGGGUGAGUAACACGUGAGUAACCUGCCCUUGACUUUGGGAUAACUUCAGGAAACUGGGGCUAAUACCGGAUAGGAGCUCCUGCUGCAUGGUGGGGGUUGGAAAGUUUCGGCGGUUGGGGAUGGACUCGCGGCUUAUCAGCUUGUUGGUGGGGUAGUGGCUUACCAAGGCUUUGACGGGUAGCCGGCCUGAGAGGGUGACCGGCCACAUUGGGACUGAGAUACGGCACAGACUCCUACGGGAGGCAGCAGGGGGGAAUAUUGCACAAUGGGUGGAAGCCUGAUGCAGCAAGGCCGUGUGCGGGAUGACGGCCUUCGGGUUGUAAACCGCUUUCGCUCAUGACGAAGCUUUGUGUGACGGUAGUGGGUAAAGAAGCACCGGCUAACUACGUG
Molecule: ribosomal RNA, 467 nt
Filed under: uncultured bacterium
Lineage: Bacteria
Description: partial 16S ribosomal RNA
Rfam family: Bacterial small subunit ribosomal RNA
Source: RNAcentral